ACGCGAAGAACCUUACCAAAUCUUGACAUCCUCUGACCCCUCUAGAGAUAGAGUUUUCCCCUUCGGGGGACAGAGUGACAGGUGGUGCAUGGUUGUCGUCAGCUCGUGUCGUGAGAUGUUGGGUUAAGUCCCGCAACGAGCGCAACCCUUAAGCUUAGUUGCCAUCAUUAAGUUGGGCACUCUAAGUUGACUGCCGGUGACAAACCGGAGGAAGGUGGGGAUGACGUCAAAUCAUCAUGCCCCUUAUGAUUUGGGCUACACACGUGCUACAAUGGACAAUACAAAGGGCAGCGAAGCCGCGAGGUCAAGCAAAUCCCAUAAAGUUGUUCUCAGUUCGGAUUGUAGUCUGCAACUCGACUAUAUGAAGCUGGAAUCGCUAGUA
Molecule: ribosomal RNA, 382 nt
Filed under: uncultured Staphylococcus sp.
Lineage: Bacteria; Bacillati; Bacillota; Bacilli; Caryophanales; Staphylococcaceae
Description: bacterial SSU rRNA
Rfam family: Bacterial small subunit ribosomal RNA
Source: RNAcentral